Molecule: ribosomal RNA, 497 nt
Filed under: uncultured bacterium
Lineage: Bacteria
Description: partial 16S ribosomal RNA
Rfam family: Bacterial small subunit ribosomal RNA
Source: RNAcentral
GAUGAACGCUGGCGGCGUGCCUAAUACAUGCAAGUCGAGCGAACGGACGAGAAGCUUGCUUCUCUGAUGUUAGCGGCGGACGGGUGAGUAACACGUGGAUAACCUACCUAUAAGACUGGGAUAACUUCGGGAAACCUUAGCUAAUACCGGAUAAAAUUUUGAACCACAUGGUUCAAAAGUGAAAGACGGUCUUGCUGUCACUAAUAGAUGGAUCCGCGCUGCAUAAGCUAGUUGGUAAGGUAACGGCUUACCAAGGCAACGAUGAAUAGCCGACCUGAGAGGGUGAUCGGCAACACUGGAACUGAGACACGGUCCAGACUCCUACGGGAGGCAGCAGUAGGGAAUCUUCCGCAAUGGGCGAAAGCCUGACGGAGCAACGCCGCGUGAGUGAUGAAGGUCUUCGGAUCGUAAAACUCUGUUAUUAGGGAAGAACAUAUGUGUAAGUAACUGUGCACAUCUUGACGGUACCUAAUCAGAAAGCCACGGCUAACUACGUG